CCUGUGCCUAUCUUCUUCCUCCUGUUCCUCUCCCCAUUCCCCUCCUCUCUUGUCAAGAACCCUAGCCGCCGCACUGCUGCUGCUGCUGCUCCACAUCGUCGACCGCACCCCUGCUGCUACACGUCCACGUGCUGCCGCCCCUGCUACUCGAUCCCCGGCGACGCCCCUGCUGCUACUUCUCAUCGUCGGCAGGAGCUCCAGCCGGCGCCGCCCCCACCAGCAAGCGAGCAUGGCGGCGGUGACCAUGCUGGAGGCCACUUGAAUCGCAUCCCCGAGCACCUCUGCCGAAGAUUUGAAGCUCCCCCACUGCAAUGUCAUCCUCGGCCCCGAAAUCUCCGUGAAGUGGCAGCAAUGUUUUUAAUUUACAAAUUUUUGUGGAGGCUUUUUUCUGUACAAGUCCUGAGGGUAGGUAGAAUUAUGUGAAGGGAAGGACUCUGAUGUGGACCGUAGACGUAGAAAAGUUCAGCAUUGAUGCAUUAUCACGACAGCUAGCUAUAGAGUUGAACAUUAGCAGUAAUCAAUUGGUGGCACUCUUGUAUUUUGACAAAUUGUUGGGUGAAGAUGUCAGGCUGUUGCAUGAUGAGCAGCAGUACAUGAUGUUUGAUAUGUAUGCAGCUGAGUUGAAAGUGCCACUUAGUGUGGUAGUGGUGGAUGCAAUUGGAUCUGGUGUACUCAAUUGUGGAGCCAAAAUUGCAGAUUUUGUUCCUAUUAAUGUUGUGCCUGCUGAUGAUCCAUUAGUCAUGGGCACUCAAAAUUGUGCAAAUACGAUCCAGCCGAAUGAUGCACAAGCUUACCACCAGACCAACAGUACUAAUUGUCCAACUAGGCCAACUCAGCCCGCGCCGCCUCCUGUCGUUGAGAGUGCCACAUCAGAGGUUGGCAGUACAAGCCAGCCUAAUAUGCCACAUGCUGACCAACAACAAGAACUUCAAAAUCCUUCCACUGAUCCAUUUUAUUACGAGGAGGAGUAUGUUGGAGUAGAUGAUGAACAUCUAGUAGGUGUUAGCAUUCCUGAACCUACUGUAGUGCAAGCACCGGCUACAACUCCUGAUGAGAAAGCUGAAGACGAGGAGGCCGAAGAUGAUAUGUAUAUCUCUGAUAUUAAGCAUCUUAUCCAGCAGGAGGAAGAGGUUACUGACAUGCCUAUUCAGUACAAUGUGGCAACUGAUCCUUAUAAUGCUGACAUUAAAGUGGGGGUUCUUUUUCCUGACAUUGUAACCUUUAGGAAAGCAAUAAGACAUCAUGCUGUCGUAAAGGACUUUGAGCUUGCUAAAGUGAAGACUGAUCCUACUAGAUUCAUCGCUAAUUGCUCAUAUGCUAGUUGUCUUUGGCGCAUCCACGCAUCGAGGUUGCGUGAUCAACAAGUUGUCAUGAUAAAGAAGAUUCCCUAUGAGCACAAUUGCCCUACUACAAAGCUUGUAGACAGCAAAAUGGCAACACAAAGUUGGAUUGCAGAGAAGCUUGUUGAUUGGGUGAAGAAAAACCCAGGAGAGGGAGCAAAGGCAGCGAAAACUAAGUUGGAGGGUGAGUUCAACUUCAAGCUGAAGUAUUCCAAGGCUUGGGAAGGUAUGAAGAUAGCUCUAGAAGAAAUGCAUGGUAAAUAUGAGGAUAGUUUUCAGUUGUUGUUCAAUUGGAAACAGAGAUAGAGAAGAGAUGCCCUGGUAGUAUUGUUGAAAUUGAUUUGGUCAAGGAAAAAGAUAAGUACUAUUUCAACAGAGUCUUUGUAGCUUUCAAACCCUGCAUAGAUGGUUUCUUAGCUGGAUGUCGACCAUACAUAGGAGUAGAUGCAACUGCACUGAAUGGCAAAUAUGUUGGUCAAUUAGCAUCAGCGACCGGAGUUGAUGGACACAUCUGGUUGUAUUAUGUAGCAUAUGCCAUAUUUGAUUCAGAGACUAUAGAAAACUGGGUAUGGUUUAUGCAGCAGCUGCGCAGGGCUGUAGGAUGUCCACCAGGGCUAGUAAUUUCCAGUGAUGCUUGCAAGGGACUAGAAAACGCAGUUGAAAAAAUAUUCCCCAAGUGCGAAUAUAGGGAGUGUAUGCGGCAUUUAUACCAAAAAUUUAUGAAGAAAUUCCAUGGUAAAGUGUACACAGACCAUUUGUACCCAGCUACUAGGGGAUUCACAGAGCACAAAUUUAGAUGGCAUAUGCAGAAGAUAUUUGAGGCAGAUCCAAGUGCCAUAGAGUACCUUGAGAAACACCAUAAUAGGAUUUGGUAUAGGUGCGCCUUUGGUGUGGAUAGCAAGGUUGAUUAUCUCACUAACAAUAUUUCUGAAAGUUUUAACAAGCAAAUCAAAGAUUUGAAAGGGUUAAAUUUGUGUGAGCUACUGGAUAGGAUUAGAGAGCUAAUAAUGGUGAAGUUUAAUGUGAGGAGGCAUGUUGGUAGGUAUUUGGCUGGCAUAAUCUUGCCCGAGGUUCUCAAGAGGCUCAAUGCACUCAGUAAAACAAUUGGGCCCCAUAAAGUGGCGUGGAAUACAGAACAUGAGGCAGAGAUUACACUAUAUGAUGUGAAAGCAUAUGACCAGAGGCACACGGUUGAUCUAAAACAGAGAACAUGCUCAUGCCGGAAAUUUCAAGUUUCUGGGCAGCCAUGCAUUCAUGCAUUGACUUUCAUUUGUUCAAUGAGGGGUGCAAAUAUUGAGUCAUUUGUUGAUGAGUAUUACAGUGUGGCAAAAUUUCAGGCUGCUUAUGCUGGGGCAUUGCCAACCAUGACAGAUAGGACACAAUGGGAGCAAGUUGACCUUGGAUUCAUGGUUUACCCACCUGUACAAGAGAAAAGGCCACCUGGAAGGCCUAGGGUUCAAAGAAUUAGAGGAUUUCUUGAAGACCCAGGCAGGAAAGUAGUGAAAUGCAAAAAAUGCGGUCGAAAUGGCCACUUUGCGAAAACUUGCAAUCUCCCUCCUUUAGUUAUUGCAGAACCACCACCAAUGGAGCACACUCCUACUAAAAGAGAGAGAGAUGCUACUGCAACCGAGGAGGAAGUUGUGGAAGAUGACGAACCUAUCGCAAAUUAUAAAAGACAGAAGACUCCUGUCAAGAAGAACACGCCGGUCAAGAAGACAACGCCGGUCAAGAAGAAGACGCCGGCUAAGAAAAUGACGCCGGUCAAGAAGAAAAAGACAUCGGUCAAGAAGACACCGGUUAAGAAGAAGACGCCAGUCAAGAAGAAGACUCCGGUCAAGGGGAAAGGCAAGCAAAGUGAAGGUACCGGAAAGGAGAAAACUGCAGGGAAGAAGAGCAAAAAACUGCAGUUUGUUACACCAUCUACUAGUGAUGCUGUUCUCAAGCCAACUCUAGGAACUAAGAAAAAUUUGCUUUAUUGGCUUGGGGGCUGAAUUUGCUUGAACUGGACCAUGUAUGUGUAUGUGAUGCUCAAACUGGAGCUUCAACCUCUGUGUGUGUGUGUGUGUGUGUGAUGCUCAAACUGGAGCUUGAACUUGUAUGUGUGAGGCUCAAACUAGAGCUUGAACUUGUGUGUGGGAUGCUCCAACAUGAGCUUUAAGACUAUUUUGGUUCAUCUACUGUUGAUGCUCAAAAUGGAGCUUUAAGACUAUUUGGUUUCAUCUUUUAUUGAUGCAAAAUAUUAU
RNAcentral lists this ribosomal RNA (3583 nucleotides) under Triticum aestivum (bread wheat). Its description in RNAcentral is "partial small subunit ribosomal RNA". Lineage: Eukaryota; Viridiplantae; Streptophyta; Magnoliopsida; Poales; Poaceae. The record is from RNAcentral.